AGUGCUGGGCGCAGCCGCGCCUCGCGCCUCCCGCCCCCCGGGGCUGCGGCGGGGACGCUUCUCUGGAGGGUGUGGCGGAAACUUGAGGCUUGGAGUCCGCGGGACCGGAAGGGGCUCCGUAGCUCGGGGCAGGGUGGGCGCGAGAGAGCCUAGAAGCCCAUGUAGCCGCGAAUCCCGCAGCCCCAGUACACCUCCCUCCGUGCCUCCCCGCCUUUUCUGCAGAGCUCCGCCCUGGAGUGAAGGAGGAGCCGUCACCUGGAGCUCCGAAAAAAGCAGAAGAAGGCGCUUUUUAUUUAGCCAGUGUGACCCCGCCAGGGCCUUCUCGGUUGGGUGAGCACUCUCUCUGACCAGGCCAUGAAAAGAAAAAUCUGUGCGAUGCCUCCCCACAUGUCACGGGACUCUGACUUGCCUUUGUCGUCAGAGUUUGCAGAACUUUGGGGGACCUGAGAGGGGAGUGCCCCCUGGACGGGCCACGGCUGUCUGUGGCUUAAGGGCUUUUGGAAGGGCGGAGAGAGGGAAACGGCGUCCUAGUGGCCUGCUUCAGGGCCACCCACGGGCCCUCCCCCAACCUCUCUCUGAUCCAACUUGUUUUUCCAGCCUAGUUGGAAACUUGUGGAUGCUGUGACCUCAAGAAGACUUGGCAUUUUAUUUGGAAGAUAGACAUCUAUUUGCAACUGUCCUGAGCCCCUAUUUUCCUCCCACCUUUCUUGGGGAAACUUGUUUUUAAGGGAUGCCACUGUUUUUGUAACAUGUUGCUCCUAGCUCUUAGCAUUCAUGGUACUGUUGUAACCGUCCAGUGGGUUCACUUUGUCUGCUAGAUAGAGCCGAUUUAUCAAGACGGGGAUUACAAUGGAGAAAGAGUAAUUCACGCAGAGCCGGCUUUGCAGAUAAAACUCUGCAAAGACAAUGUCUAGCACUUAUAUCUCCAGUAACUCCUGUCAAGGUUUAUUGUUGCUUGUUCAUCAUUGCAGUCCUGACUACAAGUGUGAUUGCACUUUCUAUUGUUUUGUCAGAAUUUCCUGAAAAGAUACAAAGGCCCUUCUGACCAUUGGAUUGGCCUUAGAAGAGAAUCAUCCCAUCGCAUUUGGAAAUGGACAGACAACAUGGAAUAUAAUAACAUGCUUGCUAUCAGAGGAAGUGGAGAAUGUGCCUUCCUGAAUGACAAUGGAGUCAACAGUGGCAGAAUCUACAUGAACAGAAAAUGGAUUUGUAGCAAGCCAAACAAUUAUGUCUACAGUUGCCAGUUAUGUCCCCACUGGGAUACUACCUAGUAGAGCUGUGAGAAGAGGGCCACCAUCCUCCAGACUCCAGAAUGGUGGAAUCAGCAGCAGCUUCCACCAUGCCCCUGGAAAAACUGCAAGUAACAGACCUGCACAUGUAUCCCCUACAUCUAAAAUAAAAGUUGGAAAAAAUGGAACUUUGAUGUUAAGAUGCACUGAUACAAAACUUAAAUUUUGGUCUCCUACAUUAAAACAAUAUGAGUCUCUUAAAAUAUUGAUUUGUUCUUAGUAAGAUUACAAGAGGCUUUGAUUUUUAAUUCUGCAAUGUUUCCUUAACAGCCAUUCUGAAUUACAAACUAAUUCCUAUUUCUGCCACAUUCCUUCCUGAGAACUGUCUAGUCCUGGUUUGGGAUUUAUCUUAAAGGUCUAGAAAGGCAACAUUUUACUUCAGCAAAACUUGAUUCUAUAUUGUUGUUUUUUCUUAAUGUGUCAAAAUUGUUUUGUUACUAGGAUUUCCUAUGUUGUUAUUAAAUGUAUUCCCCUGAUCAAGGUCACUGGCCUAGAAAACAAAGAUUCUGUGUUUUACCAAGAUAAUUCCCAGUGCUUCAUGGUGUCUUUAUUAGGCUUUGACUGCUUAGGGAAACUGAGCCUUAAAAGGGUAAAAGUUUUUCCAUCCAUGUAACUUUCUGAGGUCUUUAGGUUGUCACUCUGAUUAAAUGAGUAGUAUUCUUAGCAGUGACUUAUUAUCUGUUGAAGGAAGUAUUUUAAGCUUUUUGACAUCUUUGGCAGGUUUCUCUAGAAUCCAAAUCCUAAAUUAAGCCUUUUGGCCUAAAAAUGACUGGGAUUUUUCCAGGUGGACCCCCUAGAUAUGCUCCUCCAAAGGCUUGUCUUUCUUGUAGAGUUAUUAAAUGAUUAGGCUUAUUUGGCAAAUACUGCUAGAAGCAUUGUCAAAUAAGAAAUGGUGUUUUACCUUUCUUUAAGCUGUGUUUGUGUAAGUUCAUCAUUUAUAGAAAUGUGAAAUUUUAUGAGAUUCCUAAGAUACUGACAUGCUGAGAUACCUGUAAUAAUUGCAAUUUUUAUGUUGGAUGAUUGUAUGCCACAGAAGCACUUAAAUUUCCUGGUUAAUUGGUAACGUUAAUCAGAUCUUUACCUAUGGCUGUUCUGGGUUUUUGUCAUUCACAGUUAUUAUUUUAAUUUCUUCUUUGGAAGCGUUCGCAAUCAGCUAUAGUCCAAAAUUGCUAAUUAAGAUCAAGCAAAACAAAAUUAAUUACGUAAAAUUAAUUUAUAAGGAUGUUUUUAUGACGUAAAUGUUUUAUUUUCCAGAGCCAAGGAAAUUUUCUGUCACAAGCUAUCUACCGUUUGCAAUAAUUUGAUAAAUAAUCCUUUGUGAACAA
RNAcentral lists this long non-coding RNA (2614 nucleotides) under Homo sapiens (human). RNAcentral describes it as "non-protein coding lnc-CLEC2D-8:8". Lineage: Eukaryota; Metazoa; Chordata; Mammalia; Primates; Hominidae. The record is from RNAcentral.